UAGAAUCUUUCCACGUCCUUUUCUAUAGA
This 29-nucleotide non-coding RNA is filed under the name Mus musculus (house mouse). Lineage: Eukaryota; Metazoa; Chordata; Mammalia; Rodentia; Muridae. The record is from RNAcentral.